RNAcentral lists this long non-coding RNA (3250 nucleotides) under Mytilus galloprovincialis (Mediterranean mussel). The record is from RNAcentral. Lineage: Eukaryota; Metazoa; Mollusca; Bivalvia; Mytilida; Mytilidae.
UUAAAACAUUUACUAUGGCCAAUCAAAACUAUUACACGUCAUUGAGAAUUCAGUAUCAAGAGUAUUUAAAUACUGCUUUUCUGUGCAUGUAACUUACGGAGAGCUUAUUUUUCAAAUCAACUGUAAGUAUAUUUAAAUUAAAGAGGUAAAAUUUUACAAAAAUAUUUGCAGACCCAUUUCACUGGUAAUGAUAACCAAGUUUUUAAAAGAAAACAAGGAAAAUAAGUAGACCACUUUCGAGAUCGUGUCAAUCCAGUUAAAAACUUUGUCUAAAGAACACAUUUUUGGUAUCUUCAUUUCAUUCCCAUAUGUAUAUAUUUAAACGAGCGAUUACAAAAGUAUGAUUUUAUAUAGCUCGGAUUUUUCGGCAAUUCAAAAAAUAUGAUUCUAUAAUGCACUAAUAUUUCGCCGAAUCAAAAUAUCAUAAUUGAUCAUCAGUACUGCUCCCAUUUUGGAAUUGUGAUUAAGUACCUUUGGAACAAAUAUUGUUUCUAGUUUAAUUUGCAUAAUAACAAUAGCGAGGUGAACUUUAAUAAUGCAAGGAUCCCUUGUAUCUGGUAAAUGACGUUAUAAAAGCGCACAUAGUUGCAAAAUUUUCAAGUGAAAGACAUGAAUCUAAAAUGGUCUUUUCAUCAUUGUAGCGUAUCUCGUGCAUAACUUAUCGUUUAUGGAAGAAAUCAAUCGUAGCUAGAAACAGUUUGGAUGAUGCCUGUAAGUUUAGAAACUCAUGUCCGUAACUGAGAUAAAAUCUUUACUAAAUUCUUCCAAAGAUUCAAAGAUUUAGUCGGCAACUUUGGCUGUAUAUGAAUUCAAUUAGUUUUUAUUGGCUUUGAACUAGUUGCCAGUAACUCCAAGUAAAUAUGUACAUUUUGAGUUGUUAGGGAUAAAGGAAGGAUAUAUACCCUGUCAAGUCCGGUCUUUGUUUUUGUUAGCUGUUUUUCUUUAUUUGCCUGUUCCAAAUCAGGAGCCUGUGGUUUAGUGGUCGUCAUUCGUUUAUGACUGUCAUAUUGGUUUUCGUAAAUUCUUUUGUUUUAAAUUAAUCUUUACUAUUCCUAAUUAGAUAAUUUUAUAUUUUUCAUGGCGGGACCUUUUAUAGACGACAAUACGGUGUGGGUUUUCCCAUUGUUGAAGGCCGUGCUGUUGCCUAUAAUGCUUACAUCCACUUCAUUUGAAUUUUGGUAGCUAGUUGUCGCAAUAGCAUAUGUAGCGGUUAUGUAUUUCAUGUAUGUAACUGUAAAUGCCAGGAAAAGUUUUGAUGUGUUUAUUGUUUAAAAGAGAGACGAAAGAUACCAAAGGGACAGUCAAACUCAUAAAUUUAAAACAAACUGACAACGCCAUGGCUAAAAAUGAAAAAGACAAACAGAAAAACAAUAGAACACAUGACACAACAUAGAAAACUAAGAAUAAACAACACGAACCCCACCAAAAACUAGGGGUGAUCUCAGGUGCUCCGGAAGGGUAAGCAGAUCCUGCUCCACAUAUGGCACCCGUCGUGUUGCUUAUGUGAUUACAAAUCCGGUAAAUAGUCUAAUUCGGUAGGUCACAUUCAAAGUAUGCUAUCAGAAGUUGUGAAAAACCCUCUACAGUUUGUUAUUGAUAUGGAACCUUUCAUGUUAGGAGUAUUAUCAAUUACAAGUAGGUUUGUUUGGAAACAAAACAAUAUUAAGUUACUUUUUUUAAAUACUUAUACCGAAAGCUAGCAAUUUUGUAUAUACAUGACUGUAGUGUCCAUGGACACACACAAAAAAUAAAUAAAACAAACACAACCUUCCUGUAUACCUUGAAGAUCUGAUUAAUAUCUAUUAUUGAAUAUAAAUAAAAUCAAAGAAAUAGACAAUAAUAGAUUUUACAUAACAUUUCACAUGUUCUACAAUUUAAAUACGGGAAAAGAUGGGUUGACUAUAACAUAUUGAUAAUAUUUGCUGAAAGUUCAUUGACAGAUAUUUUGUGCAUGUUCCAGAUAAAGGUUCUGUAAUGUUAGUAACACUGUUUCUAUAAAAUAGUCGAUACUUGGUGUGUUAAGAAUAUAUGUUUCCCUGUACAGAAUUUUAAUUCCGUUAAAAUAUAAAUAAAUGACAAUAUCUUCAAUAUAUUUUGAUAUGAGCGUCACUGAUGAGUCUUAUGAAGACGAAACGAGCGUCUGGCGUACUAAAUUACAAUCCUGGUACCUUUGAUAACUAUAUUCAAUAUAAUACUAAUAGAUCUUUGCAUUUAUACGGUCAUUAUCACUUUUUUCAUAAUAAUAAUAGUUAUUUCCAAUGUAAACAGGCCAAUAGCUCUUUGUAAUUGUAAGAAAUUUGUCACUUUGAAAACAGUUCAGCCUUCCAAAAAAAGGGGAUUUAUUUUGUUCCUUUUAUUAUGACGAUUUUCUAUUGCUAUGAAUCAUUGUAACAAUUUACAUACAAUUUGUAGCCUUCAGAAUCAUUUACGAAUUAUUGAUCUAUCAGUAAAGGAUAUAAAUUAUUUUUGUUAUUCUUUAUUACGACAUAAACCUGAUUUUUUAACGACUGAUUUCUUUAAUAAACAGUAUCUGCAAAAUAAAAGCAACAGUAGUAUUCCAUGUUCACAAAAUUCAUAAAUAUAUUGAGAGAAAUCAAAUCAGAAUUACAAACCGAAGGAAAACAAGUCAACUUUAAGAAGAAAAGAACAGAAAAACAAUAACACCGAAGUUCAACAAAAAUAAACUCCAAUGCUGCGUAAAUAGAAACGAACCAUUUGACAACAACUGCAUUAUUUCUGACAAGGUACAUAUACACAACAUUUAAAGAAAACAUGGGGCGGCGGUGAACCUGAUUUUAGGCAAAAUAAAUCGAUCAUGCGGCUCUUUUACCAAGAAUAAUCUUACCACAAAAUGAAUUCAAAGUUAUAAUUUAAAGCUCGUGACUAAUUUUAUAAUACGAUAUGUCAAUUAGAAAACAAUCUAAAGACAAAAAUAACCGUGGGACAUUAUACAUGAAGUCCAUAUACAUAUUUUCUAGCAAUUAAAUGCAAAAAUUAGUAUCAUUGAAAUCGACUCAUUAUUUACUAAGUAAAUGUUUUUAAUGUUAAAUGCGCUGCUGAAUCUCUCAUGAAAAAAAUAGAAAUAUAUACAUAAGAGGCUUCAUUAAGACAUCAAAAUGGAUUUUAUUUUGGUUAUUUUUACUAUGAUUUUUACAUUUUGCAGAUAUUUGCCCCUAAUUCCUUGUUAUAACUAAAACUAUGAAGUAUUUUGUCGUGGUGUUUGUAUAUUUACUCUUUGCUACAGGUAAAU